RNAcentral lists this ribosomal RNA (478 nucleotides) under uncultured bacterium. Its description in RNAcentral is "partial 16S ribosomal RNA". It matches the Rfam family "Bacterial small subunit ribosomal RNA", at positions 28 to 523 of the family's 1533-position model. The record is from RNAcentral.
GACGAACGCUGGCGGCGUGCUUAACACAUGCAAGUCGAACGGUAAGGCCCUUCGGGGUACACGAGUGGCGAACGGGUGAGUAACACGUGGGUGAUCUGCCCUGCACUUCGGGAUAAGGCGGGGAAACUGGGUCUAAUACCGGAUAGGACCACUGCCUGCAUGGGUGGUGGGGGAAAGCUUUUGCGGUGUGGGAUGGGCCGGCGGCCUAUCAGCUGGUUGGUGGGGUGAUGGCCUAGCAAGGCGACGACGGGUAGCCGGCCUGAGAGGGUGACCGGCCCGACUGGGACUGGGAUACGGCCCAGACUCCUACGGGAGGCAGAAGUGGGGAAUAUUGCACAAUGGGCGCAAGCCUGAUGCAGCGACGCCGCGUGAGGGAUGACGGCCUUCGGGUUGUAAACCUCUUUCAGCACCGACGAAGCGAAAGUGACGGUAGGUGCAGAAGAAGGACCGGCCAACUACGUGCCAGCCGCCGCCGUAA